RNAcentral lists this ribosomal RNA (570 nucleotides) under Fusarium verticillioides. RNAcentral's name for it is "eukaryotic LSU rRNA". The stretch from base 190 to 343 matches the Rfam family "5.8S ribosomal RNA". The record is from RNAcentral. Lineage: Eukaryota; Fungi; Ascomycota; Sordariomycetes; Hypocreales; Nectriaceae.
GUAACAAGGUCUCCGUUGGUGAACCAGCGGAGGGAUCAUUACCGAGUUUACAACUCCCAAACCCCUGUGAACAUACCAAUUGUUGCCUCGGCGGAUCAGCCCGCUCCCGGUAAAACGGGACGGCCCGCCAGAGGACCCCUAAACUCUGUUUCUAUAUGUAACUUCUGAGUAAAACCAUAAAUAAAUCAAAACUUUCAACAACGGAUCUCUUGGUUCUGGCAUCGAUGAAGAACGCAGCAAAAUGCGAUAAGUAAUGUGAAUUGCAGAAUUCAGUGAAUCAUCGAAUCUUUGAACGCACAUUGCGCCCGCCAGUAUUCUGGCGGGCAUGCCUGUUCGAGCGUCAUUUCAACCCUCAAGCCCUCGGGUUUGGUGUUGGGGAUCGGCGAGCCCUUGCGGCAAGCCGGCCCCGAAAUCUAGUGGCGGUCUCGCUGCAGCUUCCAUUGCGUAGUAGUAAAACCCUCGCAACUGGUACGCGGCGCGGCCAAGCCGUUAAACCCCCAACUUCUGAAUGUUGACCUCGGAUCAGGUAGGAAUACCCGCUGAACUUAAGCAUAUCAAUAAGCGGAGGAA